UACAGAGGUCCCAAGCGUUACUGAGAAUCACUGGGUUUAAAGGGUGCGUAGGUGGUCCGUUAAGUCAGUUGUGAAAUCCCCGGGCUCAACCCGGGAACUGCUUCUGAUACUGGCGGACUUGAGGCCAGUAGGGGUCACUAGAACUGACGGUGGAGCGGUGAAAUUCGUAGAUAUUCGCAAGAACACCAGUGGCGAAGGCGGCUCACUGGCCCGAUACUGACGCUGAGGUGCGAAAGCGUGGGGAGCAAACAGG
This 253-nucleotide ribosomal RNA is filed under the name uncultured bacterium. RNAcentral describes it as "partial 16S ribosomal RNA". It matches the Rfam family "Bacterial small subunit ribosomal RNA", at positions 524 to 776 of the family's 1533-position model. The record is from RNAcentral.